RNAcentral lists this transfer RNA (65 nucleotides) under Dipodomys ordii (Ord's kangaroo rat). It matches the Rfam family "tRNA". From Rfam's summary of the family: Transfer RNA (tRNA) molecules are approximately 80 nucleotides in length. Their secondary structure includes four short double-helical elements and three loops (D, anti-codon, and T loops). The record is from Rfam by way of RNAcentral. Lineage: Eukaryota; Metazoa; Chordata; Mammalia; Rodentia; Heteromyidae.
GGUGGCUCAGUGGUAAAGCACUUGCCUUGCGUGCAUGAGGCCCUGGGUUCGAUUCCUUAGCACCA